UACGUAGGUGGCGAGCGUUGUCCGGAUUUACUGGGCGUAAAGAGCGCGCAGGCGGUCGUUCAAGUCGCGUGUGAAAGCCCCCGGCUCAACUGGGGAGGGUCACGCGAUACUGAUCGACUCGAAGGCAGGAGAGGGUAGUGGAAUUCCCGGUGUAGUGGUGAAAUGCGUAGAGUAUCGGGAGGAACACCAGUGGCGAAGGCGACUACCUGGCCUGUUCUUGACGCUGAGGCGCGAAAGCUAGGGGAGCAAACGGG
This 254-nucleotide ribosomal RNA is filed under the name uncultured bacterium. RNAcentral describes it as "partial 16S ribosomal RNA". It matches the Rfam family "Bacterial small subunit ribosomal RNA", at positions 524 to 776 of the family's 1533-position model. The record is from RNAcentral.